GCCUACAGCCAUACCACCCUGAACACGCCCGAUCUCAUCUGAUCUCGAAAGCGAAGCAGGGUCAGGUUAGUACCUGAAUGGGAGCCAUAUACACCCAAAGAAGACCAUACAAAAUGGCCAAUGUUGCAGAGG
RNAcentral lists this ribosomal RNA (132 nucleotides) under Carlito syrichta (Philippine tarsier). Lineage: Eukaryota; Metazoa; Chordata; Mammalia; Primates; Tarsiidae. The record is from RNAcentral.